MicroRNA precursor from Oryza sativa Indica Group (long-grained rice), 207 nucleotides. It matches the Rfam family "MIR812 microRNA precursor family". The record is from Rfam. Lineage: Eukaryota; Viridiplantae; Streptophyta; Magnoliopsida; Poales; Poaceae.
AAAAAAUGCAAACCCUAGGUUUCCGUGUCCAACUUUGACGGUCCGUCUUACAGGGAAUUUUUUUUAAAUUCGUAUUUUCAUUGUUGUUAGAUGAUAAAACAUGAUUAAUAUUUUAUGCGUGACUUGUCUUUUUAAAUUUUUUCAUAAUUUUUUCAAAUAAGAUGGACGGUCAAACGUUGGACACGGAAAUUAGAGUUUGUCUUUUUU